GACGAACGCUGGCGGCGUGCUUAACACAUGCAAGUCGAACGGAAAGGCCCUGCUUUUGUGGGGUGCUCGAGUGGCGAACGGGUGAGUAACACGUGAGUAACCUGCCCUUGACUUUGGGAUAACUUCAGGAAACUGGGGCUAAUACCGGAUAGGAGCUCCUGCUGCAUGGUGGGGGUUGGAAAGUUUCGGCGGUUGGGGAUGGACUCGCGGCUUAUCAGCUUGUUGGUGGGGUAGUGGCUUACCAAGGCUUUGACGGGUAGCCGGCCUGAGAGGGUGACCGGCCACAUUGGGACUGAGAUACGGCCCAGACUCCUACGGGAGGCAGCAGUGGGGAAUAUUGCACAAUGGGCGGAAGCCUGAUGCAGCAACGCCGCGUGCGGGAUGACGGCCUUCGAGUUGUAAACCGCUUUCGCCUGUGACGAAGCGUGAGUGACGGUAAUGGGUAAAGAAGCACCGGCUAACUACGUGCCAGCAGCCGCGGUGAUACGUAGGGUGCGAGCGUUGUCCGGAUUUAUUGGGCGUAAAGGGCUCGUAGGUGGUUGAUCGCGUCGGAAGUGUAAUCUUGGGGCUUAACCCUGAGCGUGCUUUCGAUACGGGUUGACUUGAGGAAGGUAGGGGAGAAUGGAAUUCCUGGUGGAGCGGUGGAAUGCGCAGAUAUCAGGAGGAACACCAGUGGCGAAGGCGGUUCUCUGGGCCUUUCCUGACGCUGAGGAGCGAAAGCGUGGGGAGCGAACAGGCUUAGAUACCCUGGUAGUCCACGCUGUAAACGGUGGGUACUAGGUGUGGGGUCCAUUCCACGGGUUCCGUGCCGUAGCUAACGCUUUAAGUACCCCGCCUGGGGAGUACGGCCGCAAGGCUAAAACUCAAAGGAAUUGACGGGGCCCCGCACAAGCGGCGGAGCAUGCGGAUUAAUUCGAUGCAACGCGUAGAACCUUACCUGGGUUUGACAUGGAUCGGGAGUGCUCAGAGAUGGGUGUGCCUCUUUUGGGGUCGGUUCACAGGUGGUGCAUGGCUGUCGUCAGCUCGUGUCGUGAGAUGUUGGGUUAAGUCCCGCAACGAGCGCAACCCUUGUUCACUGUUGCCAGCACGUUAUGGUGGGGACUCAGUGGAGACCGCCGGGGUCAACUCGGAGGAAGGUGGGGAUGACGUCAAGUCAUCAUGCCCCUUAUGUCCAGGGCUUCACGCAUGCUACAAUGGCUGGUACAGAGAGUGGCGAGCCUGUGAGGGUGAGCGAAUCUCGGAAAGCCGGUCUCAGUUCGGAUUGGGGUCUGCAACUCGACCUCAUGAAGUCGGAGUCGCUAGUAAUCGCAGAUCAGCAACGCUGCGGUGAAUACGUUCCCGGG
RNAcentral lists this ribosomal RNA (1343 nucleotides) under uncultured bacterium. Its description in RNAcentral is "16S ribosomal RNA". It matches the Rfam family "Bacterial small subunit ribosomal RNA", at positions 28 to 1378 of the family's 1533-position model. The record is from RNAcentral.